Molecule: ribosomal RNA, 485 nt
Filed under: uncultured bacterium
Lineage: Bacteria
Description: partial 16S ribosomal RNA
Rfam family: Bacterial small subunit ribosomal RNA
Source: RNAcentral
AUUGAACGCUGGCGGCAGGCCUAACACAUGCAAGUCGAGCGGAUGAAGGGAGCUUGCUCCUGGAUUCAGCGGCGGACGGGUGAGUAAUGCCUAGGAAUCUGCCUGGUAGUGGGGGAUAACGUCCGGAAACGGGCGCUAAUACCGCAUACGUCCUGAGGGAGAAAGUGGGGGGAUCUUCGGACCUCACGCUAUCAGAUGAGCCUAGGUCGGAUUAGCUAGUUGGUGGGGUAAAGGCCUACCAAGGCGACGAUCCGUAACUGGUCUGAGAGGAUGAUCAGUCACACUGGAACUGAGACACGGUCCAGACUCCUACGGGAGGCAGCAGUGGGGAAUAUUGGACAAUGGGCGAAAGCCUGAUCCAGCCAUGCCGCGUGUGUGAAGAAGGUCUUCGGAUUGUAAAGCACUUUAAGUUGGGAGGAAGGGCAGUAAGUUAAUACCUUGCUGUUUUGACGUUACCAACAGAAUAAGCACCGGCUAACUUCGUG